GCGUUCUUAGCUCAGUAGGUUAGAGUAUCAUUAUGACAUAGUGAUGGUCAGAGGUUCGAAUCCUCUAGAACGCA
Molecule: transfer RNA, 74 nt
Filed under: Enterobacteriaceae endosymbiont of Plateumaris braccata
Lineage: Bacteria; Pseudomonadati; Pseudomonadota; Gammaproteobacteria; Enterobacterales; Enterobacteriaceae
Also listed under: 2 other names
Description: tRNA-Val
Rfam family: tRNA
About the family: Transfer RNA (tRNA) molecules are approximately 80 nucleotides in length. Their secondary structure includes four short double-helical elements and three loops (D, anti-codon, and T loops). Further hydrogen bonds mediate the characteristic L-shaped molecular structure. tRNAs have two regions of fundamental functional importance: the anti-codon, which is responsible for specific mRNA codon recognition, and the 3' end, to which the tRNAs corresponding amino acid is attached (by aminoacyl-tRNA synthetases). tRNAs cope with the degeneracy of the genetic code in two manners: having more than one tRNA (with a specific anti-codon) for a particular amino acid; and 'wobble' base-pairing, i.e. permitting non-standard base-pairing at the 3rd anti-codon position.
Source: RNAcentral